Molecule: transfer RNA, 88 nt
Filed under: Cryptococcus neoformans
Lineage: Eukaryota; Fungi; Basidiomycota; Tremellomycetes; Tremellales; Cryptococcaceae
Also listed under: 1 other name
Description: tRNA-Glu
Rfam family: tRNA
About the family: Transfer RNA (tRNA) molecules are approximately 80 nucleotides in length. Their secondary structure includes four short double-helical elements and three loops (D, anti-codon, and T loops).
Source: RNAcentral
UCUUCGAUAGUACAGGGGUUAGUAUAUCCGCUUUUCAGGAACUCAACUUCCGGCGCGGACGACCCGGGUUCGAUUCCCGGUCGGAGAA